Molecule: small RNA, 67 nt
Filed under: Peribacillus loiseleuriae
Lineage: Bacteria; Bacillati; Bacillota; Bacilli; Caryophanales; Bacillaceae
Description: Bacillus sp. FJAT-27997 Bacillaceae-1 RNA
Rfam family: Bacillaceae-1 RNA
Source: Rfam by way of RNAcentral
GAAAAUGAAUCACAGACUAAGUACGCCGCGUUCUGCGGCAACGUCUGUGUGACCCACAUCCUGUGGG